ACUCAAAUGAAUUGACGGGGGCCCGCACAAGCAGCGGAGCGUGUGGUUUAAUUCGAUGUUACACGAAGAACCUUACCCAGGUUUGACAUGUUGGUGGUAGGAAUCCGAAAGGUGACCGACCCGCAAGGGAGCCUUCACAGGUGCUGCAUGGCUGUCGUCAGCUCGUGUCGUGAGAUGUUCGGUUAAGUCCGCUAACGAGCGCAACCCUCGCCGUAUGUUACAUGUGUCAUGCGGGACCGCCGGUAUCAAGCCGGAGGAAGGUGGGGAUGACGUCAAGUCAGCAUGGCCUUUAUAUCUGGGGCUACACACACGCUACAAUGGCCGGUACAAUGGGUCGCUAAGCCGCAAGGUAGAGCCAAUCCCGCAAAGCCGGUCUCAGUUCAGAUCACAGGCUGCAACCCGCCUGUGUGAAGUUGGAGUUGCUAGUAAACGCGCGUCAGCUAUAGUGCGUUGAAUACGUUCUCGGGCCUUGUACACACCGCCCGU
RNAcentral lists this ribosomal RNA (486 nucleotides) under uncultured bacterium. Its description in RNAcentral is "partial 16S ribosomal RNA". It matches the Rfam family "Bacterial small subunit ribosomal RNA", at positions 899 to 1397 of the family's 1533-position model. The record is from RNAcentral.